UCAGACACUCAACCAACUGAGGCACCCAGACGCCCCUGCUGGUGCCUGAACAGGGAACCUGAAGGGGGACGUGUGCAGCACCACUGAAGAAGGGCCCAGGGAACCGAAGGAAACUUUGGAGCUGGGGAAGCUCAUCCUUCAGGAUUUCUGCAGGUUCUUCUACUGCCAGAUGAUAGAGAAAAAUUUGCCUGUUCUGUAUCUUCAGAUAAUCAUAUGGUUCCUGUGUGAUGCCAUCCAUGGAAAGGGCUUCUGCCAGAUCAAGGCCACCAGUGGUUACCCAGUCACCAGUUGAAACCCAGGCAUGAGCUGAUCCAAGCAACCGCAGUUCGACAUGACCCCACCAAAGAGUUUCACAGAUGUCCAUUGAGAAACCAAUAAUUGUGCCCAAUGCACCACACCCUGCUCCUGAGGAGCAUUAGGACCUCUUAGCCUCCUACUCGGGGACAAGUUAAGAGGUUGAUGCAUGCUGCUGAAAAAAUCUUGAUGCAGACUCGCAGCCCACAAACUCCUGCUCACCUUUUCCUUGUGAUGCUCAUGGUUAUCACUACUACAGUAAGGGCUGAUAACUAUAUUUACUGGGCUUAUAUCCCUCAUCCACCACUCAAUUGGCAUAAGUUGGUACAACUCCCCCGUGCCGGUAUAUACAAAUGACACUGAAUGGACACCUGGGCCAUUUGACAGCAGAGAAACACAUAGGCCCAAUGAAGAAGGUACUGUUAUGGAUAAUUAUGCUAUAGGGACUGAAGGUCCUCCUAUAUGUUUUGGUUACAGGAAACACUGCCUCAAAAGUAAGCCUCAAGCAUGGCGAUCUAUUAUUAAAAAGGGGGCCCAGCACAAACCUAUUUUCUUACUCUCAGCCCAUUCUCUGAUUGGCUCCAAUCUUAAUGACACUCCUCCAAUGCUUCUGUCUUGUGCUACUCGUACAUUGUCAGAAUGGGAUGGAUGGGUGACUUGGGAAGCAUGUAGAGGGGAGAUAGGGUGAGUUCUUUUAAAUACUUCCUAUGGAAGCAUCGUUGAUUGGAGCCUUCUGGGCUCAGUUCCCCUUAAAAACUCAUUACAAAAUCUACGAUGGUGUGUUCAUAAUCAUACUAUCAGCACCACUGCUAAUGGCUCAGUCGUUUGGCAUGGUGAGGGAUUUUCUGCGCCCAGCCCUCAUUUACGACAAGGACCAUUACAAAAGCAUAUAAGGAAAUGAACUGCUGCCCUCCACCCUUUACAUACCUGCAAGGGCACAUAUUAUAAAAACAGCCCCAGCACUAUUUCUACUCUAUCCUUCACGGUCAAUAGUACCCGGUACAUAUGGGCUUGUGUCCGUUUGCCAUACGUACUAUUAAAAGCACAGAUAGUUUGGAAUGAUGCUGAGGCCCUUAUAACUUGUGUUAACUGCUCAUUAUACACCUGUCUUAAUUCUAUACCCUUUACUAUGUCAUCCAAAAGCUUAUAUUUACUUAGAGCAUGCACUGGCCUGUGGCUGCUGGUUUGCAUGUGUCAACCAUGACAACAUUCUCCAGAAAUGUAUCUGAUGGACCAGGCUCUACAGCGAGUUCUUCACUGAUCCCAAAGGUUUGCUGGAAUACUUGUUGCAGCUCUCAUAUGCAUUAUUGCUGUGACUGCCACCAUAGCCACUGCAGCUGUCUCAUUGCACCAAUCUGUGCAGAUGGUACAAUUUGUGCAACAGCAUGAGAAAUUGCACCACCUUGGAAGACACAGCAGGACAUUGACAGUAGAUGGUCCAGUGAGAUUGCAGACCUACAACAGGCUGUGAUAUUGCUGGGGAUCAAUUAGUAAGCCUACAAAGGCAAAGAUCAUUAAAAUGUUAGUGGAACACUACACCAAUGUGUAACCCCAUUGCUGUUUAAUAACACUAAAUUUCCAUGGAAUGGCGUUAAGAGACACUUGCUCAGACAAUCUAAUGUGUCCAUGGACAUUUAACAUCUGCAAGCAGGGAUAUAGGAGACUUCCAAAACAAAUCUGGACAUGUUAUCUGGUUCUAAGAUCUUAGAAAGCAUAUCAGAGGGAUUGGGAAAAUUAAAUGCUAUAGAGCAUAUUGGGAUUUUUAGUUUCUCUACUGCUAUUCUGUUUGUAUUAAUAUGCAGUGUAUUUAUCUUUGCCUGUGCAGUCUGGUGCCAGGGACAAUGAGCCUGUCAACGGACUGACAGCUUGGGUUAUACAAUGUCCUCCUACAGCCCAUUGUAUACAAACAAAAAGGGGGAGAUGUUGGAGAACAAGAAGCCGGAGGCACCGUAAGGAUGUCUUGAAGGAAAGGGACAGAGCAGCGAGGAACCGAAAGCAGUUUUAUCCCCAGGACGGAAGGCCACCGGGACUGCUCAUUUUCUCCAGAAGGACAUCAUACAGGUGGCCAGGACUGGGGAUAAGAAUGUUUUGUCUGGCACCAGAUGUACUCAUGACCCACUAUGGAAUACACUGCAGGUGCACAACCUGUCAAGAUGCCACAUACUAUGUUGUAAUGGCUUGCUGUUAUCAGACAAUUUGCAAAAAUAAAAGAGGCUUGAGCCAGGGGACCAAUGCUUUGGCUCCUGGAGAGUCUCA
Molecule: long non-coding RNA, 2550 nt
Organism: Lynx canadensis (Canada lynx)
Lineage: Eukaryota; Metazoa; Chordata; Mammalia; Carnivora; Felidae
Exons: 4
Source: RefSeq, a predicted model, not a curated record